GCUGAGUUCUGUCGCUUAUCAAGCAAAAAUCUGAGUUGCAAUCAGAGUUCUUCAAAGAUCUCGACAAAUACACUCCUCGCUUCCUGGAGAAGUUCAAAACCCAGAGGGGGAAAGUGUCGGACAGAAACUUCAAUAUCUGCAACAAGUCACACCUGGGAGUACAGAUGUGACUGGGAGGUGAACAGCAGUCCUCCGUGGCUCUCCCGUCAUCCUUGGAGAUGACAACGCAGACUUCUUCAAGAAUUUGACUCUGAUGACCUUCUGGACGUGUCCCACACCUCCAUUGGGACCCUGACGGUGCUGAAGACAUUGUGGCCUCCUCACUCGCUGGACCUGGAGUCUACAACUACUGCCAUCGUUUUGGGAGGAACAGUCGUGAUGGGUGACCGUGAUAAUCUUCCCUGUGCCG
Pseudoliparis swirei is the source of this 409-nucleotide long non-coding RNA. RefSeq lists it as uncharacterized. The transcript has 3 exons. NCBI's taxonomy places the organism in Eukaryota, Metazoa, Chordata, Actinopteri, Perciformes, Liparidae. The record is from RefSeq and is a predicted model, not a curated record.